This 352-nucleotide long non-coding RNA is filed under the name Homo sapiens (human). RNAcentral describes it as "HSALNT0360915". The record is from RNAcentral. Lineage: Eukaryota; Metazoa; Chordata; Mammalia; Primates; Hominidae.
GUCCUAGGCAACGACUGUCAGGAAGUUCCCAAAAUAAGUCACUCACAACCUCAUCGUCCUGGUUUGGACCUUUUGUCAAUAAAGCCACUAUGAGGAUCUGUGUGCCAAUCUUCUUGUGGAGAACUUUUUAUUGAGGAGUGGAACUGCCAGUUCCCAUGCUGGCAAGGCGAACCCAUGGGGCGGUUACAGUGUCUGCAACGCAGACACAAGCGACAGAGACUUGAUCAGAAUAUACAAGGAACUCUGCAAGUCAGCGAUGGUGUUUUCCCGGGCCCGUCCGCGGCGGCUGCUGAGGACCUGGGGAGACCCAGCCUGUAGGAUCCGCAGCUGCGGUGCGCGGCCGGCAGUGGCG